CGAGUUUCCGUACGAUCACCGAAGUUAAGCAACGUCGAGCCUGGUCAGUACCUAGAUGGGCAACCGCUCGGGAAUACCAGGGGCUGUAAG
This 90-nucleotide ribosomal RNA is filed under the name Acanthosepion pharaonis. Lineage: Eukaryota; Metazoa; Mollusca; Cephalopoda; Sepiida; Sepiidae. The record is from RNAcentral.